Molecule: ribosomal RNA, 301 nt
Filed under: uncultured bacterium
Lineage: Bacteria
Description: partial 16S ribosomal RNA
Rfam family: Bacterial small subunit ribosomal RNA
Source: RNAcentral
CAGCCGCCGCGGGAAUACGAAGGGUGCAAGCGUUAAUCGGAAUUACUGGGCGUAAAGCGUGCGUAGGCGGUGAGUUAAGUCUGCUGUGAAAUCCCCGGGCUCAACCUGGGAAUUGCAGUGGAUACUGGGUCACUAGAGUGUGGUAGAGGAUAGUGGAAUUUCCGGUGUAGCAGUGAAAUGCGUAGAGAUCGGAAGGAACAUCUGUGGCGAAGGCGACUAUCUGGGCCAACACUGACACUGAGGCACGAAAACGUGGGGAGCAAACAGGAUUAGAUACCCGUGAGUCCCUGUCUCUUAUACA